AUCUCAGUUCGGAUUGCAGGCUGCAACUCGCCUGCAUGAAGCUGGAAUUGCUAGUAAUCGCGAAUCAGAAUGUCGCGGUGAAUACGUUCCCGGGUCUUGUACACACCGCCCGUCACACCAUGGGAGUUGGUAACGCCCGAAGUCAGUGACCCAACCAAACGGAGGGAGCUGCCGAAGGCGGGACCGGUAACUGGGGUGAAGUCGUAACAAGGUAGC
This 216-nucleotide ribosomal RNA is filed under the name uncultured bacterium. Its description in RNAcentral is "partial 16S ribosomal RNA". It matches the Rfam family "Bacterial small subunit ribosomal RNA", at positions 1285 to 1500 of the family's 1533-position model. The record is from RNAcentral.